Dipodomys ordii (Ord's kangaroo rat) is the source of this 65-nucleotide non-coding RNA. The record is from Rfam. Lineage: Eukaryota; Metazoa; Chordata; Mammalia; Rodentia; Heteromyidae.
GGUGGCUGAGUGGUAGAGCUCUUGCCUUGCAUGCAUGAGGCCCUGGGUUCGAUUCCUCAGCACCA